This is a long non-coding RNA of Onychostoma macrolepis, 1250 nucleotides long. RefSeq lists it as uncharacterized. The record is from RefSeq and is a predicted model, not a curated record. The transcript has 5 exons. NCBI's taxonomy places the organism in Eukaryota, Metazoa, Chordata, Actinopteri, Cypriniformes, Cyprinidae.
GCCGUAAACAAAGAGAAGAAGGUCCGACUAUUACUGCGCAUGUUCAGUGAGGUGGGAGGUGUGUUUGUUCUGACAGGUUUUCUCUAUAACCAAUGAGCAGAGUUAUCAGUGAAUUGUUUAAAAGUUUACAAGCAAAGACGAAAGGUGACAGAGCCAGAUUGGGCUUUCAGAGAUGACAUCUCCUAGACUUAAAAGGAUUUAAAACCGACCCAGAGAUGGACUCUUCUUGCUCUACGGGACAUCCCACUGCAGCAGGUGGAAGAGACUGAGGCCAUAUGGACAGAAAGAUGAACUCUUCAGAGACUGCAGUUACUCCAAAAAAAAACCUGACUGGAAGAUUCGGAGAACCUUGUGGAGACACUGCAACCCAAUCUCACUGGAAAUUGUAUCCAUAUUACAAGCUCUCUGACAUUGGUCAACUGACGUCCAGCUGCACUGAUGAUUGACGCUGACGUUUGACACAACUGUUAUUCUCAAAAACGGUCCAAGGACAGCAGUCCAACAAUUACAGAACUGCAGCAAUAACAAACGCCAAACCAAAUUAAAACAUCUUCGACUGUGUAUUCAGAAUCUUUCAGCUACGUACGAGUGGCCUCAAGCAAGCCGAGUUGUUGUUCCAAAGAUUUCAUUCACAGAUGUUUGCACAAGUGGUUUGGCCAUCCGCAGCUUUUCUGCUCCUCUGUUGAUCUCAUUCCGGUCGCAGGUCUCGGAGUGCACAGGUGUGGAUUGUCCAGCCGUGUCAUGUGGGCCAAAUCGUCUGUAUCCAGAACAUUCAAAAACUGCCACAUGCUCCCAAAGCGCUCUUGUUUUAAUGUUUUAUUUUGCAAUCAGAUGGGAUUAAAAUGGGAAGUUCCAAGCAAAACAGGUUGCGUUUACACUGAUCACAAACUUCUCCUUUGGCAACUUCACAGUACACACAUGAGAAGUAUAUUAGUAGGUUUUCUUCAGUGAUUUCCCUACUUCCACAUGAAGAUUUAUUUCUUAAACACAGGUUUAAUCUGUUUUAAGGAUCAUAGCCUUAUUGUUACAGGAUUAGAAUCAGUACAGUUGUAGUACCAAGGUAUAUUACUCUGUAUCAAAGUAAUAAUACAGAGUACAUUCAAUUGUAUUAAAUGAUUACCUUGUUAGGUACUACCAUUUAAUUGACACCAAGUAAUUCAAAGAAUAAAAUAUAACUUUUUACAAUACGCUUCUUAAUACAUUAGUAAUCAUGAACGCCCUUGUGGAUUUAAGCAUACUUUUUUUUUAAA